Pan troglodytes (chimpanzee) is the source of this 587-nucleotide long non-coding RNA. RefSeq lists it as uncharacterized. The transcript is spliced from 4 exons. Lineage: Eukaryota; Metazoa; Chordata; Mammalia; Primates; Hominidae. The record is from RefSeq and is a predicted model, not a curated record.
CUGAUGAGGUGGUAUUCAGUAUUUAAUUAAGAAAACUAUCACCUGUGGAAUUAGAUGCACAGAUGUGAAAAACUAAGACACAGAGCAGUUAAAAGAUCUAAUGACAGAACUCAGAAUGGAACACAGGUCUCCUACUUCUAGACUCAUGUUUUUGAGGAGAUCCGUGGAUCAGCAUCUCUCCUGGUCAGGACCACAGAGGCCUUCCACCCGCUGUGUGAAGCUUCGUUGGAUGCCAGCUUCAAAAGCAAAAGAAACCAGCAUAUCAUUUGUCUGAUCUGUUCAGUGCCUAUGCAAUGCUUGGCAUAAAAAGGGGGAGAAUAAAUAAGAAGAAAGAGGUACAGAGAAGGAGUCAGAAAGAAAAGGAAAGAAGGAAAUCAAAAUAGAAAAGAGAAAAGGUGGGAAAGAGAGAUAAAAGAGAAAAAUGAGAGAGAAGAAAAGACAGCCAAAAAAGAAACAGCCUGAAUUUAUAGGAGAUGCAGAUGAAAUCCAUUCCAGAACUCCAAGGAAAAUUAGCCUUUCUCUGACACACCCCUCAAAAUCCUUCCAGACUUGACCCACUAUUCACCACAGCAGCACAUCACCUCCAG